CCUACGGGAGGCAGCAGUGGGGAAUAUUGCACAAUGGGGGAAACCCUGAUGCAGCGACGCCGCGUGAGUGAAGCAGUAUUUCGGUAUGUAAAGCUCUAUCAGCAGGGAAGAAAAUGACGGUACCUGUUUAAGAAGCCACGGCUAAAUACGUGCCAGCAGCCGCGGUAAUACGUAGGGGGCAAGCGUUAUCCGGAUUUACUGGGUGUAAAGGGAGCGUAGACGGCGGCAAAAGUCUGGGGUGAAAGGCCGGGGCUUAACCCCGGAACUGCCUUGGAAACUGUGAAGCUAGAGUGCAUGAGAGGUAAGUGGAAUUCCUAGUGUAGCGGUGAAAUGCGUAGAUAUUAGGAGGAACACCAGUGGCGAAGGCGGCUUACUGGACUGUAACUGACGUUGAGGCACGAAAGCGUGGGGAGCAAACAGGAUUAGAUACCCGGGUAGUC
RNAcentral lists this ribosomal RNA (440 nucleotides) under uncultured bacterium. RNAcentral describes it as "partial 16S ribosomal RNA". It matches the Rfam family "Bacterial small subunit ribosomal RNA", at positions 338 to 795 of the family's 1533-position model. The record is from RNAcentral.